RNAcentral lists this ribosomal RNA (244 nucleotides) under uncultured bacterium. Its description in RNAcentral is "partial 16S ribosomal RNA". It matches the Rfam family "Bacterial small subunit ribosomal RNA", at positions 118 to 347 of the family's 1533-position model. The record is from RNAcentral.
UAGGUAAUCUACUCCAAAGUUUGGAAUAACCGGCCGAAAGGCUGGCUAAUACUGGAUAGAGCGACGGAAUCCGUAAUUGGGUUUUUCGGGAAAGGGAGGAAGCAAUUCCCUUCGCUUUGGAAUGAGCCUGCGUCUCAUUAGCUAGUUGGCGGGGUAAUGGCCCACCAAGGCUAUGAUGGGUAGCUGGUCUGAGAGGAUGAUCAGCCACACUGGAACUGAAACNCGGUCCAGACUCCUAGGGACG